Bufo bufo (common toad) is the source of this 1962-nucleotide long non-coding RNA. RefSeq lists it as uncharacterized. NCBI's taxonomy places the organism in Eukaryota, Metazoa, Chordata, Amphibia, Anura, Bufonidae. The record is from RefSeq and is a predicted model, not a curated record. The transcript is spliced from 2 exons.
UGUUACAAUCACUUUUAUUAAAAAUAAAUCAAGGAUAGAAAAAGAAGCAGCAGUAAUAGCAAAUAUUGGUCCAGAUUUUAAAUGUGCUUUGGAAUUUAGCUUAUAAAUUGGAGGGAAAAAAAUGUAACUUUGGAUGGGGAAAGACAUGUCAAUUCUGGCAAAGAGCAUUGCAAACUAGUGUUCAGUAUAUAAUAUCUCUAUAAAUUUGCACAUAUAUACACAUACCGUAUAUGCUUGUAGAAACAUGAAACUGACAAAUAAUACAUAACCAUGACUCCCCCACAUGCAAUAUCUUUUUAACUAUAGACAAAUCUUUAGAUUGCACAUAGAAACGAUAGUAAUAAAUGUGUGUAGUACGAGGAACCGUAUAUGUGUAUUUGAGUUUUGAUAAACGUAAGCGCUUCAUUGUAAACCUGUGACAUAAGGCACAAUCUCUAGCCUCAUAAAAAGUGCUAUGGCCCAGGCCCACAGUUUUCGCAUUAGCAGACAAAACGGCAUUGGGGAAUAUAACAAAGAACACGUGUGUGAAACCUGCAUUAUUUCCACUCAAAACAAUUCAGUAUUAAAUUUGACAUAACUACAUGGAAUAUUGAGAAAACGGAAUGGUUAUGCACAAUGUAUUGUCCUUCCCAAAUAUAAAAAAAAAAAAUUCUAUGGAACCCCUGGUUCCACCUCCUUUAGGUCAAACUAAGCAUGUGUUUCUGGAAUUUUUCUAUUAAAACAUUAGAAAUCCAUAUUUUUGGAGCACCUAUACAAAGGACCUGUCAACGGUGGUUUCAUAAAGGCGUUUUCUGGGUUAUAGAUAUUGAUGACCUAUCAUGGGAUAAAUGUUCAACUGCUGACAGCACUAGGCAGGGGCUGGAGAGAGCACGCUCUUUCCUUUUCGCUGUAAGCUGCUUUAAAGCCCUUCCCCUCUGAUCUCAGUGACGGCUGCCGCAUCCAAACAGGAGUCCACUACAGUUGUCACUUCCAGCAGAGGGAAGAGAGUAGAAAGCAGCUCAAUGCAGAGAGCACUUCAGUGAGAAGCCCAGCCUCCUGAGCACUUGCAGGAGCAGAAUAUGGCAGAAUAAAACUCCAUAUUCACACUAUUCCUAAUAAUACAUCUUUGCAAACUGUAUGUUUGUCCUGCUCUUUGCAGCUCCUAACUAGUGCAGUCAGCAGUUUAGCACGGUCAAAACUCCUGAAAGUUUUGCUUUAAAGGGGUUGUCCGGCCAUAUAUCUUGAUAACCUAUCAUCAGGAUAGGUCAAUCAAUAUCGGAUUAGUGGGGGUCCGACACCCGGCACCCCCACCGAUCAGCUGUUUGAGGAGAAGGUAGCACUCCACUUGAAUGAAGUGAGUGCUUCUAUUACAUUGCACUUCCGAGACACAGUGAAGUGUAAUGAACAGGAAACGGAGCUCGCAUACAACACCGCCUUCUCUUCAAACAGCUGAUCAGCAGCGCUUCUGGACCCCCACCGAUCAGACAUUGAUGAACUAUCCUGAGGAUAGGUCAUCAAUAUAUAUGGCCAGACAACCCCUUUAAUGUUUAAAGCCUGUUGAACACUCUGUACUAUCUGCAGGCAGCGUGUUGUAGAGUUAUAUGUUAUAGUUUUGUGGGAGAAGACUCGGCUUAAAAUUUAUUGAUUUUAAUCCCUGGGUAGUCCUAUACAAAGACUGACAGCUAUCUAGGAAUGUAAGAUUAUACAGGGAAGGCUGUCAAUUACUGAAGCAGAGGGCCCACUAGUGUCAAACCUGGAGGCAGCAGGGAUUUGAAUCAACACAUACACAAUCAAUAUAUAUCACUCUGCUCAGCUCAUCCUCUGUUGAGAACAGACAGGGCAGCAUGUUCAACAUGUUAGAUGCACUUUAAAGGGAACCUGUCACCUAGAAAAUGCAUAUUAAACCACCAACAGUACCUUUUGGCAGCCUGUAGCAUGAUUAUAAAAGGUGUCUGUGUCUUUUCUGUACAAUGCGCCAAAAGU